UACGUAGGGACCAAGCGUUGUUCGGAUUUACUGGGCGUAAAGGGCGCGUAGGCGGCGUGACAAGUCACUUGUGAAAUCUCCGGGCUUAACUCGGAACGGCCAAGUGAUACUGUCGUGCUAGAGUGCAGAAGGGGCAAUCGGAAUUCUUGGUGUAGCGGUGAAAUGCGUAGAUAUCAAGAGGAACACCUGAGGUGAAGACGGGUUGCUGGGCUGACACUGACGCUGAGGCGCGAAAGUGUGGGGAGCGAACAGG
RNAcentral lists this ribosomal RNA (253 nucleotides) under uncultured bacterium. Its description in RNAcentral is "partial 16S ribosomal RNA". It matches the Rfam family "Bacterial small subunit ribosomal RNA", at positions 524 to 776 of the family's 1533-position model. The record is from RNAcentral.